UUACGCCUACGGGGGGCAGCAGUGGGGAAUAUUGCACAAUGGGGGAAACCCUGAUGCAGCGACGCCGCGUGAAGGAAGAAGUAUUUCGGUAUGUAAACUUCUAUCAGCAGGGAAGAAAAUGACUGUACCUGACUAAGAAGCCCCGGCUAACUACGUGCCAGCAGCCGCGGUAAUACGUAGGGGGCAAGCGUUAUCCGGAUUUACUGGGUGUAAAGGGAGCGUAGACGGCAUGGCAAGUCAGAUGUGAAAGCCCGGGGCUCAACCCCGGGACUGCAUUUGAAACUGUCAGGCUGGAGUGCAGGAGG
This 305-nucleotide ribosomal RNA is filed under the name uncultured bacterium. RNAcentral describes it as "bacterial SSU rRNA". It matches the Rfam family "Bacterial small subunit ribosomal RNA", at positions 333 to 655 of the family's 1533-position model. The record is from RNAcentral.